MicroRNA precursor from Gossypium arboreum, 113 nucleotides. It matches the Rfam family "MIR7502 microRNA precursor family". Lineage: Eukaryota; Viridiplantae; Streptophyta; Magnoliopsida; Malvales; Malvaceae. The record is from Rfam.
UAUUAAAAAUUUCAUCCAAUUCUACUGUUAAAAAUUGGCUUGACUGACGAAUAACAAGACAGUUACACAUGGGGACCAAUUUUUAACCGUAGAAAUGGAUGGAAUUUUUAACA